This 427-nucleotide ribosomal RNA is filed under the name uncultured bacterium. Its description in RNAcentral is "partial 16S ribosomal RNA". It matches the Rfam family "Bacterial small subunit ribosomal RNA", at positions 355 to 774 of the family's 1533-position model. The record is from RNAcentral.
UGGGGAAUAUUGCACAAUGGGCGCAAGCCUGAUGCAGCCAUGCCGCGUGUAUGAAGAAGGCCUUCGGGUUGUAAAGUACUUUCAGCGAGGAGGAAGGCGUUGUGGUUAAUAACCGCAACGAUUGACGUUACUCGCAGAAGAAGCACCGGCUAACUCCGUGCCAGCAGCCGCGGUAAUACGGAGGGUGCAAGCGUUAAUCGGAAUUACUGGGCGUAAAGCGCACGCAGGCGGUCUGUCAAGUCGGAUGUGAAAUCCCCGGGCUCAACCUGGGAACUGCAUCCGAAACUGGCAGGCUAGAGUCGUGUAGAGGGGGGUAGAAUUCCAGGUGUAGCGGUGAAAUGCGUAGAGAUCUGGAGGAAUACCGGUGGCGAAGGCGGCCCCCUGGACAAAGACUGACGCUCAGGUGCGAAAGCGUGGGGAGCAAACA